AGUUGGUCGACAUGCCUAUAGGACGACCAAAGGCAUUCUUGUAAGUUGCACAAUGAGCUAUUGUAAUUACACUUUUUCCGACUGUAUACUUUUUAUUAGGUGUCAGCUACAAACCACUCCAAGUGGCUUUUUACUGCACCGCACAAAAUCAUAGUAUCUGGAAAUAUCCGUUCAACCUCCACAAAACCGUCUACUCAAAUUCUACAAACUUCCAGAAGAAACUCUUUUAGUUCUCUUCAUCUUAUCAAUUGGUUGAUACAAGUUCAGGUUUGACUCUGUGUUGCAGUAAUUUUGUACAUAUGCAUGUUCAGUUUGUUUGAUUUAAGCAAUGCCAAAUGCUUUAGGCGAUGCUCACAGAAAAAUAAGCAGUCUUGAAUCUCUGUUUUGCUAUGAUAAAUCUGUACCCGAGGAAAGAAUUGAGAAGCCAACUGGAUUGUCCUUGGCCAAGAAGAAUACUGGAGAUAAUCCUCAUUGUCCCGAGUGUGAAGCAAAAGGUGCUGUCCUUUGUGCUAACUGCUCGGGUUCGGGCCUAUAUGUUGAUUGUAUAAUGGAAAGCCAGGGGAUAAUUGUCAAAGUUAGAUGCUUAGGUUGUGGAGAUUCUGGUAACAUAAUGUGCUUAGAAUGUGGAGGACGAGGUCAUCUCUGACUUUCUUGAUCUGACUGGUUUGAUCUUGUGCCUGUUUGUCAUGAUAUAGGCUUUGGCUUUGUCAGGUAGCGUGAAAACGCAGAGUUAGUUGCACACAUUUAAGAAUAGCUGAUUCAAAGUUAGCUUUGUGUAUCAUUUAAUUGUUUUUUCUGUCCUUGGAAAAAUAAUGUUAUCAUUUAAAUACAACUAGAUUUCCUUU
Lycium barbarum (goji berry) is the source of this 845-nucleotide RNA transcript. RefSeq lists it as uncharacterized. The transcript has 4 exons. Lineage: Eukaryota; Viridiplantae; Streptophyta; Magnoliopsida; Solanales; Solanaceae. The record is from RefSeq and is a predicted model, not a curated record.